UUUCAAGUACCUGGAUUUGGGGUCAUCACAUUAGAGGCUUGUUGCUAAUAUUCAUACUGAUUUGUUGCCAGAUUUAUAGGAUUGUAGAGUAUAGUUCACAUUUGCAUCAAGGUUGUUUUUUUGUAGUAUAACAUUGUGUUAAAUUGCUUGAGGACAAAUAAAUGCUUAAAUUUGGGGGUAUUUAGGCUUAGUAUUAUUGACAGUUAUCGAGCGUUGCAUGUUACUUUUGAUGGUUUUUGUGUCACUUCACAGGAAGAAAGGCAAGGAUGGGACUUCGGAGCUAAAAGAGGGAGAAAUAAUUGAAGAAAUGGAUAUUCUGCUAAAGGGGCGCGCGUUGCCUGGUGUGGAGAAGGCGCAGGUCGCGCCGGGUUGAGAAGAGAUGCUGCAUAUAUAGCGCGGACCGCGCCAUUUUAAGAAGGGAUCGGGCGCAGCCGCGCAGGGCGCGCCAGUAUGACGAAUUACUGCAGAUUCUAUUUCUUUAAGUAUUCAAAGUUGAAUCUAUUAAGGAUUUUGACUUACCUUAUGUAAUAGGAUUUUUGAGGACUAUAAAGACUAGUUGUUUACUUAGUUUUACACAUCUCUUUUUGACUGACAACUAUUGAGAGCUACCUUGUAGAGACUUGGAGAUUGUAUUGGAGAACAUUGAAGGCAAAGAUUGAAGCUUGGAGAUUAGAGAUUCCUGG
Molecule: long non-coding RNA, 683 nt
Filed under: Panax ginseng (ginseng)
Lineage: Eukaryota; Viridiplantae; Streptophyta; Magnoliopsida; Apiales; Araliaceae
Description: long non-coding RNA (PGIN_LNC015941)
Source: RNAcentral